This 514-nucleotide ribosomal RNA is filed under the name uncultured Chlamydiae bacterium. Its description in RNAcentral is "bacterial SSU rRNA". It matches the Rfam family "Bacterial small subunit ribosomal RNA", at positions 392 to 896 of the family's 1533-position model. The record is from RNAcentral. Lineage: Bacteria; Pseudomonadati; Chlamydiota; Chlamydiia.
CGACGCCGUGUGAGUGAAGAAGGCCUUCGGGUUGUAAAGCUCUUUCGCUAGGGAACAAGAAAGUCCGGAUAAUACCCGGAUGAUUUGAUGGUACUUGGUAAAGAAGCGCCGGCUAACUCCGUGCCAAGCAGCUGCGGUAAUACGGAGGGUGCAAGCAUUGAUCGGAAUUACUGGGCGUAAAGGGCGCGUAGGCGGUUUUAUAAGUCAGAUGUGAAAUUCCGGGGCUCAACCCCGGAGCUGCAUUUGAAACUAUAUAACUAGAGGAUAGUUAGGGAAAACGGAAUUCCACGUGUAGCGGUGAAAUGCGUAGAUAUGUGGAAGAACACCAGUGGUGAAGACGGUUUUCUGGGCUAUAACUGACGCUGAGGCGCGAAAGCUAGGGGAGCAAACAGGAUUAGAUACCCUGGUAGUCCUAGCCUUAAACGAUGCAUACUAGAUGUAGGUGGGCUCAACCCCUCCUGUAUCGAAGCUAACGCAUUAAGUAUGCCGCCUGGGGAGUACGCUCGCAAGGGUG